CCUCGCCCACACCACUUCCGCCAAACCGGCCGGCCGGCCGGCUCCGCCACCAUAGGCCGAGGCGGCCGUCUACGUCAUUCCAGGAGCGCCAAUCAGGGCGGCGAAAGGCCGACAGGGCGGUGGAGAAUGAGAAUAAGAAGUUGAAUCUAGCCAGUUCUUAUGGGACGCCCCUCCACUACAGAGGUCCUUCAGGAGCUGUUGAAGGUCAAAAAGUUGGGAGACAGCAGCCUGGCUCAUCUCCCAGGUGCCUUCCAGCUCUACUUUGCUCUUCCUUAAGGAUCUAGAAGAGCCACCCCCGAGAAAAGGACAAGCGAGAAUCACUAGAACAGAGCAUAGCUUCCGUCAGCCAACAAAGUCACGAGGCAUCUCUCUCCACAGACAGCAGUGCUAGUUCCUCACGGCAUCAGGGGCUGCCCCAGGACUAGGCUCAGGGACAACCCCUCUCUGCUGGUGGGGGAAACAGCAGAGGAAGAAAACACCAGAAUAAAACAUCUGAAGGGUCGUGUCCUCAUACUAGCUCUAGUUAGCUAACCUCCAUGCUCACCCGCGGAAGGUUUCACCCAGCCCAUUCAGCCACUCCUGGAAACCAUAAACUUUGCCUUGAAAAGUGUUCACCAGAUCCACUUGGGCAGGGGGGCUGGACAGAAAAAUCAGAUGGCAUGCACGCUAUGACCAAGAAUACAACCUCCCAGAAACAUCUAAAUAAAAGUACAUACAUGCACAUGCAUGUGGUUGAAGCAGGAGGAUUCACAGAAAACAUUUUAAACUUUCCCGCAGUUAGAUGGAAGAAAUGGUAAGCAAUUUUAUAAUACUUUCUCUUAAUAUUAUUCUAUUUCAGCAAAAAAAAAAUACCAAGUAAAAAUCUCUUAGAAAUCUCUACAUGUCUUGGUCAAAAAUACCAACAGGUUGUAUCUUGGUGCAGAGGCAUAUUCAGGGGCAAGGGUCUCUCUCUAGCCUCAGUUGCCCACCUGAAAAGGUAAGAGGUGGCAUCCUGAGCACCCUCCUUCCUCUGCAGCAGAGUGAGAGGCAAUGAAUUGACCAGUGAUCCAUUCUGACAAAGCACAAGUGUUCCUCCCCGUUCCAGGCAGCAUGGAUUAAUCUGCCGCCCCAGCUGAAAAGCAUAGUAAUAUAAUACAGCACGGUGCCUUCUAAAUGGCUAAGUACAUACUACAUGCGUAGCUUAUAAAAAAACUUCUCAAAGAAAGCGGGUGGUCAAGGGGACAGGAGCAUGAAGAUACUUAGGAGGACACUCUCCGAGGGCAUGAGAAGGAUUUGGGCCAAGCAGCUGCAAGAACUGUAAGAUGGAGAAUGUGGAGGCCGAUGACCCACCACCUACCAGCCGUGUGAAGAUGGACAAGUUACCUGAACCCUAUGAGCUUCCAUUUUCUCACCAGCAAAUUAGAAGAAUAAUUAUACCCACCUGGUAGGGUUGUUCUGAGGACUCAACUAAAAUGAUCCAUGUAAAAGCACUGUGCUUGGCUCAUGGUAAGCUAUCAAGUGUCAUCACCAUCACUAUUCUGACCACGGGAACCUCCAACGGAACCGUGAAGGGGAAUUCUGACUGUUGGAGAUUCUGUUUAGCAUCGGCAGGGGAGAGGAGGAAGGUGCCCAGCAUCCCUGGGCAACAGGCGGAUGCUGACAGCAGGCCAAGGGCACCAAGACCGCCAAGAAGAAAGGCUCUGUGCCGCCUGGAGAAUCUUUCACUGUCACUUGUGUUGUGGGUCCCAGAAAUGACCUCACUGAGUCCCCGAAGCCUCAUGCUGGUUUGUCAGGAGUGGGAGAAAAUGAGGCCCCCAUACGAUGAAUGGAAUACAGAAGUUGGCAAUGGUCUCCCCGAUGUGCCCCAUAUCCACUCAGCUGCGGUCUGCCCAGAGCCAAGGAGCAAUGCCCACAUACCGGAAGCCUCUGACAUGAUGUUCCCCCCUCCCGGGGAGGUGGUGGAGGCAAGGGGCACACCUUGGGGGAACCCCAGCUCUACUGGUUGCUUACUCAUCCAUGUAGCAGUAGUGGUGAGGUAUUAAUAAACUGUAAAACUCA
Neofelis nebulosa (Clouded leopard) is the source of this 2037-nucleotide long non-coding RNA. RefSeq lists it as uncharacterized. NCBI's taxonomy places the organism in Eukaryota, Metazoa, Chordata, Mammalia, Carnivora, Felidae. The transcript has 3 exons. The record is from RefSeq and is a predicted model, not a curated record.